AGGACAGAGAACAUAGGAGGCCGCGCGAAACGCCUGCUCGGAGCGCGGGACCGGGACUGCCUUCCGCACAGGCUCCGCCCCCAGGCGUUGCUUCGGCUCAGGAAGGACUGCUAUAUACAGGCGUGGACACGUACAUCUAUAUGUACAUAUACCUCCUGACCAGGAAGAAACUGCCCACAAACCAUCCCAAAACAAGCCAACAGAAUCAGAGCAAGCCAAACUACUUGACUUGAAAGCUGUGGGGUUGCUUUCCUUGUGGUGCUGCAUGCCUAUCGCCAGAUGGUGCUGUGUAAAGGCAUAAAAAGCACAUCUCAUGACGGUCCCUGCCCCUUACUUGGACUAAAAUGGAGCUUAACUUUUGUCAUUUCAUUGAACUUUCCUUUGUUCAAGAGCAGAGAAAAAAAUAAAGAAAUGGGACACAAUUCAGUAAUAUACUAAGUAUCUUCUACUAUAAUCUACAAGCUCAUCAACUGGAAACAGCAGAGGUGGAGAAGAACUGUGAGCUUGUUGAUCAUAGGAUGACUAUGAACCAUCAGUGUGAUGCUGCUGUAAAAAGGUGAAUGUUAUCCUAGCGUGUAUUAGAAGUUUUUCCGAUAUAGCUAGAAAAGAAUUAAUGUCAUUGUUUGAGCCCCUGGUGAGACCACAACUGGAACAUUAAGUACAAUUUUGUUCUUCUUUAUUCACGAAAGAUAAAUUGAAACUGGAACAGGAGCAAAUGUGGACUUACUUGGAUGAUUGGCGGAAUGGUGAACUCUACCUGACAAGAAAAGACAAGAAAAACUGUGCAUGUUUAGCCUAGUAAAAUUAAGGCUUUGAUGUGUCCAUGUGACUUGUUUAUAAGUAUAUCAAGGGAGUACAUACGAGGGAGGAAAACGAACAAUUUAAGAUAAAGAACAAUGCUGGCUGUAGAGCAGUGAGUAUAAAUUGGUCAUGAAUAAAUUUAAACUGGGCAUUACAAGAAGAUUCCUAAUCACUACAGCAAUGAGGUUCUGAAAAAAAACUUUUCAACAGAAGUAAGAGUAAGAACAAACUGUAUUGCUUUUAAGAUAAAGCUAAAUAUACCUACAAAAGGAAUUAUACAAGGUAGUGCCUGUGGUCAAAAGCAGGACUUGAUGACUUAGAUGGUUUCUUCUGGCCAAUGAACCUAUAUCCUAUUGAAAAGAGAAGAGACUAGCAAACAAAAGCCAUUGCACAUCAUAUUUAAUUGUUAUUGUUAUUAUUACAAAUUUUUAUUGAUAGUCCUCAUUACAUGAUCAUAGUCCAUUAGAACAGGUGCCCAUCUCCUGGAUGCUCACCUUCCAGAUUAUCUGGUUGGGGGGAGAAGUCUUCCCUCAUAACCGUCUGCUAAGAGAGAAAGGAAGAUGUGUAUUGUCCCCCUUUUCCUUUCUGCUGUGAAAUAAGAUGGGGAGAAUACAAUAGCAGCUUUCUUCCAGCCUUCUUUUGGUUUUUGGCUUCUUAAAAAAAAAAGCCACUCUCUCUUGUUGAAGAUGCUUUUUUAGAAUGUUGAUAGCUGUAAGUGUUGGAGAGAGAUCAACACUCUGAAACAUGAACUCCCUAUUUGUAUUAAAGAGAGUUAAGCAGAAUCUUGCUUGGGUUGAGGCAUGAUCUAUUGCAGAAAUACAUAGAACAGAAAUGUCAGAAAGGCACUUGAUGGGAAAUAUAAAUAAAAAAAGAGAAGCCAUUUCAGCGAAUGAUCGCUACCAUGUAAAUGACUGGUAUUGUAUACAGACUGUCUUGUGACUGGUGGCAGGGGGUGGGGGAGAUGCCCCUUGUGCUUCCUCAUAAAGAUCUGCACUCUUGAUAUUUCCUGCGAAAUUCCUCCUGAUUAAGUAAGUGUUUGCUGCUCAGCCUUAGGACAGCUUUGGGAAAGGAAGCUGGACCUCUUACACUAUAGCUGUAAGGAGGAAUAUUAGUUAACUGAGUGGCAGACCAUGUGUGCAACUUUCUUGUCUUCAAAUCGCAUCUAAAAUGAAGCCAGAAUGACCCCAAUAAAGGUGAUUAUGUUGGCCUAGGUACACAUAUGAAGUUUUAAUUUUACAGAUGCCUAUUGCUGGUGAUGAUUUAUAAGCCAGAAAAAACCUCUGUGAUACCUUGCGUGCCUCGCAACUGAAAAUAACCCGGAAGCAACUCUUCACUUGCAAAGUCAGAGUUUGAUCUGGGAAUCAUUGGCACCAAAUGUGGAAUCACCCAGUGCCAUAUUCAAGUGGUAUUUCAGAGAAGGGCUCCAUAUAAGUUCAGGCUGUAUGAAAUUCAGGCUCUAUAAACAAAAAGAGCACUGCUCAGGCAGGAUCUGACUCCUUCCCGUGAUAUUAAACGUUGCACUGUCUAUGUAUGUUUAUAGUUAUUUGUCACACACAGCCUUGAUACUUUAAAUGGAAAUGGCUGCUAUAUGC
Long non-coding RNA from Alligator mississippiensis (American alligator), 2393 nucleotides. RefSeq lists it as uncharacterized. The record is from RefSeq and is a predicted model, not a curated record. The transcript is spliced from 3 exons. NCBI's taxonomy places the organism in Eukaryota, Metazoa, Chordata, Crocodylia, Alligatoridae.